ACUGCAGAGUAACACUGCUCUUCCCGGGAGAGCCACAAAACAUCACAAGGGGCAUGCACCACAGGUGGUGACUUGGGAGGCUGGAUAUUCAACUUAAAAAAAGUGACUGGAUGUGAUGUUUCUGUGAUUCUAACUGUUACGACUAGCUGGAUUGUAAACUUCUGACAUGUACUUGCCCAGACCCAUAGUACAUACAGUGAUGCUGCUUUAAUUUUGGUUUGUUUCAGCAAAAGUAGUGAGGAAAUGAAGCUGCAGAAUUCAAAGCUGUCACGGAAGUUUCGCUGCCUGGUUUCCCAGGACUCAGCCUUGCAGUUAUAUAUAAAGGAUUGGCGUAAGAAACUGGAAAUGGCUGAACGGAGGAUCCAACAGCUCUCAGGGUCAGUUUUUGAGCUCCAGGCAGAAAGAGAUCUGUAUGCAGAGAAACUGAAGGAGGUGCAGAGAAUGUGGCAGCAGUAGGUGCAGCAGUUCUCUGAACAGGUCCGUGCAAUGGCAGAAGAGAAGGAGGAGCAUAUGGCCUGAGGAGACGAUGACGUGGACUCCUGAGUUCAACCAGAAGACCUUUUAUUAGUCCAGAACCCACGCUUAUAAUAUCCUCGUUUGCUGUUCACGCGCCCCAUACUAAAUUAUCAUUGGUUAAUCAAUACUGUUCACACACGUCUUGGCUACAUAUAAUUGGUUAAUUACUAAGCUGCAAAUGCACUGAA
Long non-coding RNA from Falco peregrinus (peregrine falcon), 704 nucleotides. RefSeq lists it as uncharacterized. The record is from RefSeq and is a predicted model, not a curated record. NCBI's taxonomy places the organism in Eukaryota, Metazoa, Chordata, Aves, Falconiformes, Falconidae. The transcript is spliced from 3 exons.